GACGAACGCUGGCGGCGUGCUUAACACAUGCAAGUCGUACGGUAAGGCCCUUUCGGGGGUACACGAGUGGCGAACGGGUGAGUAACACGUGAGUAACUUGCCCACAACUUUGGGAUAACGCUAGGAAACUGGUGCUAAUACUGGAUAUGUGCUCCUGCUGCAUGGUGGGGGUUGGAAAGCUCCGGCGGUUGUGGAUGGACUCGCGGCCUAUCAGCUUGUUGGUGGGGUAGUGGCCUACCAAGGCGGCGACGGGUAGCCGGCCUGAGAGGGUGACCGGCCACAUUGGGACUGAGAUACGGCCCAGACUCCUACGGGAGGCAGCAGUGGGGAAUAUUGCACAAUGGGCGCAAGCCUGAUGCAGCAACGCCGCGUGCGGGAUGACGGCCUUCGGGUUGUAAACCGCUUUCAGCAGGGACGAAGCUUUUUGUGACGGUACCUGCAGAAGAAGCACCGGCUAACUACGUG
Molecule: ribosomal RNA, 465 nt
Filed under: uncultured bacterium
Lineage: Bacteria
Description: partial 16S ribosomal RNA
Rfam family: Bacterial small subunit ribosomal RNA
Source: RNAcentral